GUCCUAGCCGUAAACGGUGCACGUUUGCUGUAAAAGGAAUCGACCCCUUUUGUGGCGAAGCUAACGCGUUAAACGUGCCGCCUGGGAAGUACGGUCGCAAGAUUAAAACUCAAAGAAAUUGACGGGGGCCUGCACAAGCGGUGGAGUAUGUGGCUUAAUUCGAUGCAACGCGAAGAACCUUACCUGGCCUUGACAUGCAUAUAGUAGAAGGGUGAAAGCCUGACGAGGUAGCAAUACCAGUAUGCACAGGUGCUGCAUGGCUGUCGU
RNAcentral lists this ribosomal RNA (267 nucleotides) under uncultured bacterium. Its description in RNAcentral is "partial 16S ribosomal RNA". It matches the Rfam family "Bacterial small subunit ribosomal RNA", at positions 793 to 1055 of the family's 1533-position model. The record is from RNAcentral.